AGUUUGAUCCUGGCUCAGAUUGAACGCUGGCGGCAGGCCUAACACAUGCAAGUCGAACGGCAGCGGGGGAUAGCUUGCUAUCCUGCCGGCGAGUGGCGGACGGGUGAGUAAUGCAUGGGGAGCUGCCCAAUCGAGGGGGAUAACAACUGGAAACGGUUGCUAAUACCGCAUACGCCCUGCGGGGGAAAGGUGGGGACCUACGGGCCUACCGCGAUUGGAUGCACCCAUGUGGGAUUAGCUGGUUGGUGAGGUAACGGCUCACCAAGGCGACGAUCUCUAGCUGGUCUGAGAGGAUGACCAGCCACACUGGAACUGAGACACGGUCCAGACUCCUACGGGAGGCAGCAGUGGGGAAUAUUGCACAAUGGGGGAAACCCUGAUGCAGCCAUGCCGCGUGUGUGAAGAAGGCCUUCGGGUUGUAAAGCACUUUCAGUGGGGAGGAAGGGGCGAUGACUAAUAUUCAUCGUCAUUGACGUUACCAACAGAAGAAUCACCGGCUAACUCCGUGACAGCAGC
RNAcentral lists this ribosomal RNA (516 nucleotides) under uncultured bacterium. RNAcentral describes it as "bacterial SSU rRNA". It matches the Rfam family "Bacterial small subunit ribosomal RNA", at positions 10 to 515 of the family's 1533-position model. The record is from RNAcentral.